GGGAUAUUUGAAUACUAAGCGAAACAACCUAUAACGCUAUAAAUGCAUAUCAAAGAAAUAUUGUUUUUUUAUGGCGAAUAUGGAUUUCUAUCUUGUUAUUUACUUUAUAUAUUACCGAUAAAGAUAUGGACGUUUAGGAUGUGAAAAAAUAUACACUAUAUCGGCGCAAAUUUGUGGUAUCUAAUAAGGGUUUCACUGAGGAAGAAAGACAACUUCAACAGAAUAUUCGCAAAUUACAAAACCAACUCGAAGCUAAAGAACAGGAACAUCGUCAAAGGGAAUGGAGACUUGUGGACAAACUGUAGGAAAAUGAUGUCACAAUACAGACGCUAAAUCAAUCAAUCGCAAACUUAAAGAGCAAGAUGGACUAACAGAACCAGGAAUAUUCCAGAUUAACUGUAGCAAAGGAUGUUGAACUGGAAACGUUGCAUCAACAGGAUGCCAAUAUGAGAUCUGAACUCGCGCGGAGAAAAAAUAAUUUUGAGAGGAGGCAGAAAGAGUUGUCUUUAUCUUUGGAAAGAGAGUCGUCGUUGGAACGUUCUAGGGCUGAGCUAGAGUUAGAUUGGCAGCGCAGAUAUGAAUAGGAAGAAAGAACUGGGUACAUAUGAUAAACAAGGAGAACUAGUUAAGAAUUUAACACAAGGCAAAGAAGAGGCGUUAUCGUUGGUGUAACAACAGAAACGUGAACUGCUUCACAAGGAUAGUGUUAUCCAUAUUUUGAAGACACAAAGAGAUGAAUCAGUUUCUAUCCUCAAGCUUCAUGGACUAACCGUGCCUUCCCAAAUAUCAGAUUUUAUCAGUCAUGCAUGUUUCACCAGUCGAAGAUGUUGGCACACCAGCAGCGAAUAUGAAUAAUAAAGAACUUCCAGUUCAGAACGAAAAUUUGCGUCUGUUAUUCAUCAAAUGAGAGAGGACAUGGAGGAUUUGAGAAGCUUGUAAAACACUCGGGAAGCUUGUAAAACACUCGAGAAGCUUGUAAAACACUCGGCUACGCCUCGUGUUUUA
Molecule: long non-coding RNA, 1005 nt
Filed under: Dendronephthya gigantea
Lineage: Eukaryota; Metazoa; Cnidaria; Anthozoa; Malacalcyonacea; Nephtheidae
Description: uncharacterized LOC114542670
Source: RNAcentral